Molecule: ribosomal RNA, 326 nt
Filed under: Phreagena soyoae (deep-sea cold-seep clam)
Lineage: Eukaryota; Metazoa; Mollusca; Bivalvia; Venerida; Vesicomyidae
Description: bacterial SSU rRNA
Rfam family: Bacterial small subunit ribosomal RNA
Source: RNAcentral
UUGGGUUUAAGUCCCCGUAACGAGCGCAACCCUUUAUCCUUAUUUGCAAGUACAUAAUGGUGGGAACUAUAAGGAGACUGCCGGUGAUAAACCGGAGGAAGGCGGGGACGACGUCAAGUCAUCAUGGCCCUUACGACCAGGGCUACACACGUGCUACAAUGGGAAGGACAAAGGGUCGCUAAGCCGUGAGGUGGUGCUAAUCUCACAAAUCUUUUCGUAGUCCGGAUCGGAGUCUGCAACUCGACUCCGUGAAGUCGGAAUCGCUAGUAAUCGUAGAUCAGAAUGCUACGGUGAAUACGUUCCCGGGUCUUGCACACACCGCCCGU